CGGGGGGCAGCAGUCGAGAAUUUUUCUCAAUGGGCGAAAGCCUGAAGGAGCGACGCCGCGUGGAGGAUGAAGGUCUUCGGAUUGUAAACUCCUGUCAUGAGGGAGCAAGACACUGCGUUAACUGCGUGGGUGUUUGAUAGUACCUCAAGAGGAAGAGACGGCUAACUCUGUGCCAGCAGCCGCGGUAAUACAGAGGUCUCAAGCGUUGUUCGGAUUCAUUGGGCGUAAAGGGUGCGUAGGCGGCUAGGUAAGUCAGAUGUGAAAUUCCGGGGCUCAACCUCGGAACUGCAUUUGAUACUGCUUGGCUAGAGUACUGGAGAGGAGACUGGAAUUUACGGUGUAGCAGUGAAAUGCGUAGAUAUCGUAAGGAAGGCCAGUGGCGAAAGCGAGUCUCUGGACAGUAACUGACGCUGAUGCACGAAGGCUAGGGGAGCAAACGGGAUUAGAUACCCGAGU
This 456-nucleotide ribosomal RNA is filed under the name uncultured prokaryote. RNAcentral describes it as "bacterial SSU rRNA". It matches the Rfam family "Bacterial small subunit ribosomal RNA", at positions 342 to 791 of the family's 1533-position model. The record is from RNAcentral.